CGGGGCGCGGUCACCUGGCCAGGAGAAGGGACGCGAGGUCUUUCGAGGAGCCACCCAGCAAGCAGUGAACUGGAACAGCCACCACCAAUGACCCCGUCGGGUGGCCCUGGGGGUGGCCUGGGCGGCGGGCAGGGCCAGCGGGCACAGCUAGCCCCCCCGAGUCGACGAGACGCCCCAGCUGCGGCCCCUCCAGGAGCAGGUGGCGAGUCUGGAGGCCAGGGCAGUAAGUACCAGUCCCACCAGCAUGGGACUCAGCAGACCAGUGGAACCGGCCGGCCUAGGGUCCAGCCCAAACAGGCCGCCCCUCCCUGCGCCGCCCACACACGGAUUGAGCCCACUGCCCCUGCCAGCCUGGCCCCACAGUCCCCGUGCCAGAGGACAUGGCUGCCCCGUGCCCCAGCUCCUAUCUGCUACAGGACCUGGUGAGUGGCCGUGUCCUCCCCUCCCCUUGGGCCAGGGGCUCUUCUGAGGGGCUGGACCCACCGUGCCCUGAAGAGCUGCUGUCUGGACCCAUCUCUCCUAUGGGAGCUGCCUCCCACCUGUCUGCUCAGAACUCUGCCUGCAGGUCACCCUGCGGCGGAGAAUCUGCUCCAGCAGGUGCAGGACCAUUUCCAGGCUCUCACGGUCACACUGGACCUCAGGAAUAUCCUUUCUCCAGAGCUCACCAGCGGUGUGUGUGUGUGUGUGUGUG
Long non-coding RNA from Erinaceus europaeus (western European hedgehog), 691 nucleotides. RefSeq lists it as uncharacterized. The record is from RefSeq and is a predicted model, not a curated record. Lineage: Eukaryota; Metazoa; Chordata; Mammalia; Eulipotyphla; Erinaceidae. The transcript is spliced from 3 exons.